This 68-nucleotide microRNA precursor is filed under the name Alligator mississippiensis (American alligator). RNAcentral's name for it is "Ami-Let-7-P2a3_pre stem-loop". The record is from RNAcentral. Lineage: Eukaryota; Metazoa; Chordata; Crocodylia; Alligatoridae.
UGAGGUAGUAGAUUGUAUAGUUCUGGGUCACACCCGCGCGGAGAUAACUAUACAGCCUACUGUCUUUC